GGUAUGUAGCUCAGUGGCAAAGUGCUUUUCUAGCAUGUGUGAGGCCCUGGGUUCAACCCCCAAUACCA
RNAcentral lists this transfer RNA (68 nucleotides) under Marmota monax (woodchuck). RNAcentral's name for it is "tRNA.Ala". The record is from RNAcentral. Lineage: Eukaryota; Metazoa; Chordata; Mammalia; Rodentia; Sciuridae.